AUGGUACCUUCCUUCAAUUAUCUUCACAAUAAUACUGAUCUCUCUAUAACCGCACCUUCAUCACCAAUCCUCACUCUCCUCGAGCCAAUUCUUCAAGCACUAUUGUGUCUUCAUCUUCAUCAUCAUCUCUCUACAUUCAACAUCAACAAAGAAAUUGCGCUUCAGCCUCAUAACAAGAACGCGCAUGCAAUUGAAUGCAACAACUUCAGAACUGCAAGCACGCUGAAAUUUAGAAAACGUAAAGGAAUCAGAAGUUGGGAAAGUAGGAGAAGUGAAAAAGAAAAUAAGAAAAGAAGAAGCAAGGAAGAGGAGUUGAGGUACCUGUGA
Vicia faba (fava bean) is the source of this 327-nucleotide non-coding RNA. NCBI's taxonomy places the organism in Eukaryota, Viridiplantae, Streptophyta, Magnoliopsida, Fabales, Fabaceae. The record is from the annotation of a GenBank genome assembly.